UACGUAGGUGGCAAGAGUUGUCCGGAUUUACUGGGCGUAAAGGAUGCGUAGGCGGACUUUUAAGUGGGAUGUGAAAUUCCGAGGCUCAACCUCGGCGCUGCAUUCCAAACUGGAAGUCUAGAGUGCGGGAGAGGAAAGUGGAAUUCCUAGUGUAGCGGUGAAAUGCGUAGAGAUUAGGAAGAACACCAGUGGCGGAGGCGACUAUCUGGACCGUAACUGACGCUGAUGCAUGCAAGCGUGGGGAGCAAACACG
RNAcentral lists this ribosomal RNA (253 nucleotides) under uncultured bacterium. RNAcentral describes it as "partial 16S ribosomal RNA". It matches the Rfam family "Bacterial small subunit ribosomal RNA", at positions 524 to 776 of the family's 1533-position model. The record is from RNAcentral.